RNAcentral lists this long non-coding RNA (6031 nucleotides) under Homo sapiens (human). Its description in RNAcentral is "HSALNT0222387". The record is from RNAcentral. Lineage: Eukaryota; Metazoa; Chordata; Mammalia; Primates; Hominidae.
UAAUCCAUCUUGAAAUGAUUUUUGUAUAAGGUGUAAGGAGGGGAUCCAGUUUCAGCUUUCUACAUAUGGCUAGACAGUUUUCCCAGCACCAUUUAUUAAAUAGGGAAUCCUUUCCCCAUUGCUUAUUUUUCUCAGGUUUGUCAAAGAUCAGAUAGUUGUAGAUAUACAGCGUUAUUUCUGAGGGCUCUGUUCUGUUCCAUUGAUCUAUAUCUCUGUUUUGGUACCCGGCUAAUUUUUUUUUGUAUUUUUAGUAGAGACGAGGUUUCACCGUGUUAGCCAGGAUGGUCUCAAUCUCCUGACCUCGUGAUCUGCCUGCCUCGGCCUCCCAAAGUGCUGGGAUUACAGGCGUGAGCCUGUGCCCGGCCGAUAAUAUCCAUUUCUUAAUUGGACUGUUUAGAGCAUUUACAUUGUUAAUAAUUAGUAUGAUUGGAUUUAGGGCUACCAAUUUUAUUACUGGCCUUCUGUUUGUCCUCUCUCAUUUGUUCCUCCCUUCCUCCUCUUACUCCCUGUCUGUUUAAAAUAGACUUUUGGAGCAGUUUUAGGUUCACAGCAAAAAUGAGCAGAACAUAGAAUUCCCAUAUGCCCCUUUACCCUCACAUGCACAAUUUCCCCUAUAAUUAACAUCUUGCAUUAGUGUGUUAUAUGUGAUGAACCAAUACUGACAUGAUUAUUAACUACAGUCCAUAAUAUGCAUUAGGGUUCACUCUUUAUGUUGCACAUUCUCUGGGUUUAAACAAAUAUAUAGACAUUUAUUCACCAUUGCAGUAUCAUACAGAUUAAUUUGACUAACCUAAAGUCCUCUAUGCUCUGCCUACUCAUCCUCCCCCAACUAGAUCCUGGCGACUACUGAUCUUUUUUACUGUCUCCAUAGUUUUGUUUUUUCCAGAAUGUCAUAUAUUUGGAAUCUUAUGGUAUGUAGCCUUUUCAUAUUGGCUUCUUUCACUCAGUAAUAUGUAUUUAAGGUUCCUGCAAGCCUUUUCAUGGCUUGAAAGCUCAUUUCUUUUUAGUGUUGAAUAAUAUUCCAUUGUCUGAAUGUACCAUAGUUUAUCCAUUCACCUACUGAAGGACAUCUUGACUGUUUCCAAGUUUUAGCAAUUAUGAAUAAAGCUGCUAUAAAUAUCUGUGUACAGGUUAUUGUGUGGACAUAAGUUUUCAACUAAUUUAGGUAAAUACCAAGAAGUUGUUACUGCUGGAUCAUAUGGUAAAAAUAUAGUUUAUAAGAAACUGUCAAACUGUUUUCCAAAGUGGCUGUACCAUUUUGCAUUCCCACCACCAAUGAAUGAGUGUUCCUGUUGCUCCACAUUCUCACCAGCAUUUGGUGUUGUCAUUGUUUUGGACUUCUGCCAUUCCAAUAGCUGUGCUGUGGUAUCUCAUUUUUGUUUUAAUUUGCAAUUCCCUAAUAACAUAUAAUGUGGAACAUCUUUUCAUAUGCUUAUUUGACAUCUGUGUACUUUCUUUGGUGAGGUGCCCCUCCCCUCUGUUCAAUAUACUUUAGUAUUCCAUAUUAAUUUAUCUACUUUUCAACUAUCUUUGUACUGCAUUUUAGUAGCUGCUCUAGGGAUUACAAUAUACAAACCUAACUUGUCACAGUCUACUUACUUAAGAGUCGAUAUUUCACAAGUUCAAGUAAAACAAAGAAGUCUUACAACUAUAUAUAGACCCCUGUUACUGUUGUGAAAUUACAUCAACAUACAAAUUUUUAAACUUUUAACUGUUCGUUUUUCUUGCAAAUGCUAUUGUAGUAUAAUAUACAUAGGGCUUGGCACAGUGUCACAUGCCUGUAGCCACAGCUACUUGGGAGGCUGAGGAGGGAGGAUAGCUUAAGCCCAGAAGCUGGAGUCCAGCCAGGGCAACAUUUUAUUUAUGAGACUCCGUCUCAAAAUAAUGAUAAUAAUAAUACACAUAAAAUAUUAAAAUAAUAAGUGUAAAUUAUGACUUUUUACAAAAGGAAGACAUUGUUGUAACUAAAGCCCCAAUUUUAUAUAUAUACACGUAUAUAUAUAUACGUAUAUAUAUACGUGUAUAUAUACACGUGUAUAUAUAUAUACGUGUGUGUGUAUAUAUAUAUACGUGUAUAUAUAUAUAUAAAAUCAGAAACUCAGAAGCCCCUUUGUGCCCCAUCCCAUUGACUUUAGCAAGCUCACUGUACAUAAGCUAUGUACUCUUAUUUCCACACCCCAACCAAGGGUAAUUAUUAUUCUUACUUUUAAGAUGAUAAGUUAAUUUUACCUACUAUUAAAGUUCAUAUGAAUGGAAAAAUACACCAUGUACUAUUUUGUAUUUGUUGCAUACAAUUAUAUUUUGUAAAUUUCCAGUGCUGUAUAUUAGUGAUCCAUUAUUUGGCUAUACUGGCUAUACUACCAUUAAACUAUCCAUUAAGAGAUGAGUAUUUCGUUGUUUCCAGUUUAUUAUGAAAAAUUUUGCUAUGAACAUACUUAUACUUGCCUCUUUUAACUGUUUUCCAAUAUGCUUGUAUCAAUUUACAUUUCAACAGUACCAUAUAAGGUUCUGAAUGCUCCCCAAUCUUGCCAACAUGUUGUAUAAUCAGUUUAUUUCAGCCAUGUUGGCAAGUAUGUAACAGUAUUGCUUUGUGGUAUUAAUUGGCAUUUCCCUCAUGAAUAAUAAUGUUGAACAGGUUUUACAUAGGUGUGUUGGCCUUCUGGAUAUCAUCUUUUAUAAACUGCCUAUUUGAGACUUUUGUCCAUUUGUCUAUUAGGUUUUCUUCCUUUUAAAACACUGAUUUUUAGUUCUUCAUAUUAUACAAGUCCUUUUUUAGUCUUGCUCUUUUUCUUCUUUUAAUGGUGACUUUUUUGGUUUAAAGUUUUAUUGGAAUAAAAUCUACAUACUAUUAAAAUAUACACAUUGUAGUUCACAAAUCAAUGAGUUUUAGUAAAUUUACACAGUUAUGCCACUAUCACUACAGUCCAGUUUUAGAACUCCUCUAUCACCCCCAAAAAACUCCCUCCUGCCCAUCUGCAGUCAAUAACCACUUGAGAAGCAGCCCCAGGCAACUACCAAUCUGCUUCCUGCUGCUAUAAACUAUCUUUUAAAAAAAUACAUUCUUUUUUAGAUGGCUUUUCCUGUGAUUAUAAAAGUAAUAUGUAGCUAUUCUAGAACACUUAAUACAUACAUAUAUGUUCAGAGAAUAUCAGCUUGGGUUUAAUUUGACUAAUGACUAAAUUCUUAGAGCUAUAAUUAAAACCAGGUUAAUUUCUUCAAACCAAUCAGCCUUUUCAAAGGGAAUUCAUACUUCUACAAGUAUGAAUUCAAUUCAAAUAUGAAAACAAGCUUAAUGUAUCCUACAUCUUCCUUAUACCCACAGUUAGAAGACUCCUAGGGAAGAGAAAAAUUUAGGUUUCACCGCUUGAAGAAAGAGUAUGUUGACUGUUCACAUAACAGCGGAUAUUUUUCCUAGCAACCUGUGGAUCCCUAGGCAGCUGAGUAUGGAGAGGAGUAGCAGCUUUACCAGUAAGUUUUAGUAGCUACAACAAGCAACAGCAUGUGUAUGACUGAUUAUAUUAGGAGAAAGCCACAAAACUUCUUUUAAAAAACUACUAAGUAGAGACAUAGUGCUAUGAAGUGACCAGACUUUGACAUACAGGUCCAUGCAUAAACAUUGCACAGUUCUUUAUGAUCAAGUUGUAUCAUCCCAGUCAUAACUUAAGGCUUUACCUGCUUUGAAAGUUUGGUGGUCAAAGGGAUUGACUCAUUAAAAUCUAACAUUAGCCUGCAGAAGACAAACUCUCAAGAGGGAAUGUUUUAGAGUAUAGUGAAGGUGGUAAUUUACCACAAAAGGCUGAAAUAAUACAGAAAAUAUACAUUAUAGUCUACCAUGUUGUUACUUGUUUCUAUUUAUCAGUCUGAAUUUUCUUUUUCCUUUUUUUUAUUGAGUAUAUUUUAUGGUUCCAUUUUAGUUCAGCUAUUACCUUACUAACUGUUAACUCUUUUUUAAAGGAUUAUUCUAGGAUUUGCACCUUUUAUCACAGUCUACCUUCAAAUAAUACUAUACCAUGUUCUGUAUAGUGUAAAAGCUUAACAACACUAUAUUUCCACUUAGCCCCACUUUAGGUGUUUUGUGAUACUUUUAUUAUAUAUUUUAUUUCUACCUCACAAUAUACUAUUAUUUUUGUUUUCUAUAGCCAAUUAUUUUAAAAAGAGAAAAGUUUUUUUUUUUUUUCUUGAGACAGUCUCGCUCUUUUGUCCAGGCUGGAGUGCAGUGGUGCAAUCUCAGCUCACUGCAACCUCCACCUCCUGGGUUCAAGCGAUUCUCCUGCCUCAGCCUCCCAAGUAGCUGGGAUUACAGGCGCCCAUCGCCAUGCCUGGCUAAUUUUUGUAUUUUCAGUAGAGAUGGGGAUUCACCAUGUUGGCCAGGCUGGUCUCGAACUCCUGACCUUGGGUGAUCUGCCUGCCUCGGCCUCCCAAAGUGCUGGGAUUGCAGGUGUGAGCCACCAAGCCUGUCCAAGAAAACAUAUUUUUAAAAUAUUAGCCUACAUUUCUAUCAAUCUGCCACUAUUCAUGUUUUGUGUAAAUUCAAACUUCCAUGUGGUUUUCCCAUCAUUUUUCUUCCAUGUUUAAAAUUUCUGAUAUUAUAGAUCUGCUGGUAAUAAAUUCUCUCAGCUUUUUUGGUCUGAAAAUGUCUCUACUUAACCUUAGUUUUUAAAAGAUACAUUCACCACACAUAGAAUUCUAGGGUGACUUUUUUUCUCUUUUUGGUCUUUUGAAGCUAUCACUCUUGUCUUAUGGCUUUGAUAGUUUCUGAUCAUCUUCACUUAGUUACACAAAAUGUCUCUUUUCUCCCUCUGGCUAAGUUUAAGAUGCUCUCUUUUUAACUGGUUUUAGCAAUUUGAUAUAAUGUGUCUUGGUGUGUUUUUGUUUGCUCUGAUUGAGGUUUACUGAGAUUCUUUGAUCUCCGUAGUUUUUUUUUUUUCCAUCAAAUCAGAAAAUAUUUUGCUCAUUAUUUCUUCAAAUAUAUUUUUCUGUGCCCUCCUCCCUUUCAUCUCCUGAGAUUCCAAUUACAUCUAUGUUAGACUGCAUCAUAUUGCUCCAUAAGUUAUUGCUAUUUUCGUUUUUUUACAUCUUUGUUGCUUUCUCUGGGCUUUAAUAAACUAUGACUUCAAAUGUACUACUUCUGAACUGUCUAACCGAUGUUAAUCCAAUUUAGCUUGUUUUUUAUUGUCAAAUAUUACAUAUUUAAUCUCUAAAAGUUCCAUUUGAGUCUUUUUCAUAUCUUCAGUUUUUUCAUUUUCAUAAUACAAAUGGCCCUUAUUGGUUGCAACAGGCAGUGAAAGACAGGACAGAACAACUCCAUCUCCUGAGAAAGCGUCCAGAGACUCUGUCAUCACCUUCCAAAAUAAAAAAUCUAUUUUGUUCUUAUCAUAUUCAUGUUUUUUGUUAUGUCUUUGGGCAUAUUUAAAAGAUACAUUAUAGCUAAUUUGACAUUCUUACUAUUUACAUCAUCUCCAUCAUUUUAAAGUCUGUCUCUGAUUAUUGAUUUUUUUUUCCCCCUUGUUAUGGGUUAUUUUUUUCCUGACUCUUUGCCUGCCUUGUAAUUUCUCAUCGGAUGUUAGACACUGUGUUUUACAUUGUUGGAUUUUGUUGUAUUCCUUUAAAGAGUGACAAACAUUUUUCUUAACAUGCUGUUAAGUUACUUAGGAUCAGUCUGAUUCUUUUAAGACUUAAUUUUUAGUUUUGUGAGAGCAGGGCCAGAGCAGCCUUUACAUUAGGACUAUUUUGGUCCCAUUGCUAAAACAUUGUCUUUCUGAGGAUUCUACCUAAUGCCUCAUGUAAUAAAAGGUCGUUUCACUCUGGCUGAUGAGAACAGAACUACUCCUCUAAUCCUGUAUAAGUACCAGAAAUUGUUAGGUCUACAGGAUUUAGGUGAUUAGAAUAAUCAUUCUUUCCCCAAUCUCAUGGAAUUUUAACUCACAUAUGCACAGAUCAGUAGUCAGCCACAGAGACUCAAGGAGACCCCUCAGCAGAUCUCUAGCUCUUUCUCUUCAUACAAUUUCCUUCUCCUCUUUACUCUGCCUCA